This is a long non-coding RNA of Anguilla anguilla (European eel), 173 nucleotides long. RefSeq lists it as uncharacterized. NCBI's taxonomy places the organism in Eukaryota, Metazoa, Chordata, Actinopteri, Anguilliformes, Anguillidae. The record is from RefSeq and is a predicted model, not a curated record. The transcript has 3 exons.
GUGUAUGAGGAAAUAGGCCCUGCCACAGAAACAGAAGGUUCUGAAGUAGUUGGGCAGCACAGUUUCUAUUCAGCCGUUCAGUUAAAACCAUUAAACCAAGGUCCUACUGCAUAAUUGGACACAGGGAUCCAUAUUCACUCAGUCUUACCUUCAUAUGUGAGGGAAUAUAUUCU